GAACGCUGGCGGCGUGCUUAACACAUGCAAGUCGAACGGAAAGGCCCUGCUUUUGUGGGGUGCUCGAGUGGCGAACGGGUGAGUAACACGUGAGUAACCUGCCCUUGACUUUGGGAUAACUUCAGGAAACUGGGGCUAAUACCGGAUAGGAGCUCCUGCUGCAUGGUGGGGGUUGGAAAGUUUCGGCGGUUGGGGAUGGACUCGCGGCUUAUCAGCUUGUUGGUGGGGUAGUGGCUUACCAAGGCUUUGACGGGUAGCCGGCCUGAGAGGGUGACCGGCCACAUUGGGACUGAGAUACGGCCCAGACUGCUACGGGCGGCAGCAGUGGGGAAUAUUGCACAAUGGGCGGAAGCCUGAUGCAGCAACGCCGCGUGCGGGAUGACGGCCUUCGGGUUGUAAACCGCUUUAGCCUGUGACGAAGCGUGAGUGACGGUAAUGGGUAAAGAAGCACCGGCUAACUACGUG
RNAcentral lists this ribosomal RNA (465 nucleotides) under uncultured bacterium. RNAcentral's name for it is "partial 16S ribosomal RNA". It matches the Rfam family "Bacterial small subunit ribosomal RNA", at positions 31 to 507 of the family's 1533-position model. The record is from RNAcentral.